UACGUAGGGGGCGAGCGUUGCCCGGAUUCAUUGGGCGUAAAGAGCUCGUAGGCGGUUUGUCACGUCUGCUGUGAAAACUGGAGGCUCAACCUCCAGCCUGCAGUGGGUACGGGCAGACUAGAGUGCGGUAGGGGAGAUUGGAAUUCCUGGUGUAGCGGUGGAAUGCGCAGAUAUCAGGAGGAACACCGAUGGCGAAGGCAGAUCUCUGGACGGCUAACUGACGCUGAGGCGCGAAGGCCAGGGGAGCAAACGGG
This 254-nucleotide ribosomal RNA is filed under the name uncultured bacterium. RNAcentral's name for it is "partial 16S ribosomal RNA". It matches the Rfam family "Bacterial small subunit ribosomal RNA", at positions 524 to 776 of the family's 1533-position model. The record is from RNAcentral.